RNAcentral lists this long non-coding RNA (419 nucleotides) under Fukomys damarensis (Damara mole-rat). RNAcentral describes it as "lncRNA (ENSFDAG00000032006.1)". Lineage: Eukaryota; Metazoa; Chordata; Mammalia; Rodentia; Bathyergidae. The record is from RNAcentral.
CAGCCAGAGAGCAGUUAGCAUCAGUUACUCACUUUUGAAUUUCGGAUUUACAUGUAACUUCUGGGUAGAUGACUUGUUGCCAUCUGCUAACUGCUUUGGGCUUAUUGUGCCUAGGGUGUUAGAUUGAGAAGAUCCAGUAAACUAAACUCCAGGGAGAGCUUGGUAUAAAUAAAAAAAAUCCGGCAUCUGUCAGAACAAACAGGAACCAAUCUGAGAUGCAACGACGAGGGAGGCUCUGGUUCCAAAACAAUUCAGAACGGUGUUAGCCUGUUACAGCAAGAAGAACCCUGCUUCUGUUCAAUGGCUGCCCCUUCCUCUGUGUAACCCACAUCCAGCUCCAGGGUCAGUCCUUCUAACUAAGGUGGGUAACCUGCCAUGUCCAGUGAUUAGCAUGUAUGGUCACAUGACCAAUGUGGGCC